CCAUGCUCAUCUUUCACCUCCUUUUGGAUCACAAUGCUCCCAAACAUCUCAAAUCACUCCAUGGCACACUCCAACACCUAAUAAGGACAAUGAAUGCAAAAUGCAACCUAGACAUGGCUAAAUCCUAAUCUAUAUGAUGAAAAUGCUCAUGGAUGAAUGGAUAAAACAAUGUAAAUAUGCAAGAUAUCAUUCUUCCUUGCUAGAAUGGCAUUUCGGACAAGUCUGUCUAUCCUUUUGACAGUUACCGGUGCAGUUGAUGAUAUGGAGUUAUGAAGCCUGUUAUUCCUGCUCAACCAAAGGGUGUAUAUUGUUGCUUGGCCGACCAAGAGACGGAGAGUAGGAGAACAUACACUGUAUCGUUUGAACUGAUUUCAAUUUGUUUCUUUUUUCAAAUAAAAACUCCUUAUAUUUCUCACACUACUUAGUUAUCACACUAUUUUUGAAACUGUUACUCUUCAUGUGGAGAGGUUUGACACACGAUGCCAUUGUUAAAAAUUCAUCUUUUCAUGCAUUCUAGGUACUCUCUCUUUUUUCGCUUAACAAUAUCCUAGGUACUUUCCUCAAUUUUUUUUUUUCUGAUGGCUUCAUUAGUACCUGUGAAAGAAUGAAAAAAUUCAGUUUCUAACCUCACAGAUCGAUGGUUUCUGAUGAUACUGUUCAAGAGAACUUCUUUUAGAUGAUUAAGAAAGAAACACAUUUUUUUUGGUCAGGGCUUUAUGCAAAGUUGGCAGAUGAAAAUUUAAAUACAGGAAAUGUUUAUUGGAUACGGUGGUGAUAAUUUGAGGAAGAAAAGCAAGAAGCUUACCUUAAAGCAGAUUUACAAGGCUUCUAAUAAACGUGAGAAGCACUUCAAGCAACAAAAAAAUAAGAAAAUGUGGUCUUUAUUAAAAAAAAAAUGGUGAUAACUAAGGUAAAAAUGGGGUUUAAGAAACAUUGGUGGAAACGAGGAUUCAUGUUUACGAUCUCUAAGAUCAAACCAAACUUCAGGUAAGUUUUCUUAUUUUUAAAUAUGUUUAUUGUUCUUAUAUAAUGUUACUAAUUUUUUUAGAUA
Long non-coding RNA from Brassica rapa (field mustard), 1051 nucleotides. RefSeq lists it as uncharacterized. The record is from RefSeq and is a predicted model, not a curated record. NCBI's taxonomy places the organism in Eukaryota, Viridiplantae, Streptophyta, Magnoliopsida, Brassicales, Brassicaceae.